RNAcentral lists this ribosomal RNA (497 nucleotides) under uncultured bacterium. RNAcentral's name for it is "partial 16S ribosomal RNA". It matches the Rfam family "Bacterial small subunit ribosomal RNA", at positions 28 to 507 of the family's 1533-position model. The record is from RNAcentral.
GAUGAACGCUGGCGGCGUGCCUAAUACAUGCAAGUCGAGCGAACAGACGAGGAGCUUGCUCCUCUGACGUUAGCGGCGGACGGGUGAGUAACACGUGGAUAACCUCCCUAUAAUACUGGGAUAACUUCGGGAAACCGGAGCUAAUACCGGAUAAUAUAUUGAACCGCAUGGUUGGAUAGUAAAAUACGGUGUUUCUGUCACUUCUAGAUGGAUCCGCGCCGCAUUAGCUGGUUGGUAAGGUAACGGCUUACCAAGGCAACGCUGCGUAGCCGACCUGAGAGGGUGAUCGGCCACACGGGAACUUGGACACGGUCCAGACGCCUACGGGAGGCAGCAGUCGGGAAUCGGCCGCAAUGGUCGAAAGCUUGACGGAGCAACGCCGCGUGAGUUAUGAAGGUCUUCGGAUCGUAAAACUCUGUUAUUAGGGAAGAACAAAUGUGUAAGUAGCUAUGCACGUCUUGACGGUACCUAAUCAGAAAGCCACGGCUAACUACGUG